Molecule: long non-coding RNA, 3403 nt
Organism: Phyllostomus discolor (pale spear-nosed bat)
Lineage: Eukaryota; Metazoa; Chordata; Mammalia; Chiroptera; Phyllostomidae
Exons: 3
Source: RefSeq, a predicted model, not a curated record
CCUGACAAUCUCUACUGCUCCUCGGCCCACACCCACAGAGACUCCUCCCCACAGUGUGUGGGACCCCUGGCCCCUCUCUGCGGGCACGUGAUCCGGAAGGCAUUGUCUCCUUGUUCACAGUGAUUGUCUUAGGUUACACUGGCAGGCAGGACAUGAGAGAAUCAACAAGACAGACCAGGGGCAUCCUGCAACACUUCCAGAUCUGUGCAGAACAGGGUAACAGUGAGAACACCAAAGAAAUAUUUUUGGCUGUAGACUGGAGGAUACAGCAGGAAGCUUUACUUCUCACUGUCUCUCAACAGCAACAGUAAACUUGCUCCCUAAGAGGCCAUGAUUACUUUGUAUCAGAUGUGUAUUUGCCAGCAAGAUUACAUCCCUGCUGAGGUCUUUGCAAACCAUCAGUGGUCACAUGACAUUCUGAGCAAAUAGCAAUUAGCCAAAUUGGCUGAGUUUGCAAUUGAAAUCCUCCUGCCUAGUUUCCCUAAAACUCACCCAGCAUAGUUUACCAGCUUUUCCUAGAGUCAAUUACAAACAAGGAGCAAAAUAUGACUAGAUUCACAACAAGUAAUGAAGUGAGAGUACUAAAAAGUGAGGAAAAGGAAAUAACAAGAAUCGAUUUAGCACUUUUGAAACAUAAGGAUAUUUUUCCUGACAUGGAUGUGAGAAUGACCUACAGUGCUUCUCAUGCUUAUAACAGAUGGAGCAAAGUUGAUUUCCAUCAUUUAGAGUAUGCAUCACCAUUCAUUCUCUCAGAGUGCUAAGAGAAUGUCUCAGCAAAUAUUGGACACCCCGGGGGUCUAAACUGUUGCUUAAAAUGAAACUCACUGAUGACCAUGACUUUGCAAGUGUUGGAUGCGGCUACUAUUCUUAUGGGCCACAGUGUCAGCGGUAUAAAACCAAACACUACCAGCUGUACUCUUCCAACAGUUUGGAGCAAUAUUUAAAUCUUUACACUGUAGAGGUACAAAGCCCGUUGCAUAAAAGUUUAUAUGUUUAUUUAAACUCUUCAGUAAUAGCAAGUUUCCACAAAGAAUCCAAACAGAUCAAAAAUGCUCAAUGUCAAACUUGCCAGGUGAAAAAGCAAGCACACUAACACACACUAACUCGCCUUCCUGCUUUGGUUAUUAUAUAACAGGCUGCCUUAUGACUGCUGCCUUGCUCUUGGGCCAGUAUUGCCUAUCUUGAGAUCACUUUCGAUACUCCUAAGGUAAAGGAACACCAAACAGAAGUCAUUUAUCUGACAAAGGACCUUGUGUUUUUCUUAUUCUAUCAAUCAUUAAACUGGUAAUGUCUUUUAGGUUAUUGCUUUGACAUUCAUUAACACUCACGUAAGAGGAAAUCUUUGCAAUUACAAAUCCUUUUGACCACCUAAAGUUGUUUUGCCUUGAUUUGCUACAGUUUUUUUAACUGACCCAAUAGCACUAAGAUGGGUUGGGAAUUACCCGGUGGUUCAACUCUCAACUCGAGGUGUCUCUUUUAUGACUCAAAUGCAGUGGAUACACAUACUUGUCUGUAAAAAAUCAGCUUUCGACAUCUCGGUGUUAACUUUCAUGGCAAGCUUGACUGACUAUCUUAAGAGGAAGGAAUACUUCAGAAAAACACUACAAGGCUGCUGUGUUGUCAUAGGUAUUCUUCCUCUUGGCAAAUACACAAACCCUCAGGAGAGUUUCCACUAAAAAUUCAAAAGGCUCAUUAUCAUCUCUAAUGCCUGAAACAUAUUUUACAUAAGUUUCUUAUGAUUUGAAACCACAAACAGAAACAGAGUAAGAUGAGUGUUCAAUAUGACAAAGUGAGAACUUGGAAUAUCAUAGGGUAGCUUGUUCACCACUAAACCACGCCUGUUGUGAGAACAUCACCCAUAAAACUGAUUAUACAUCAUCCACAGCCACAUUAUCAUCCGGCAUUGAGAGAAAUCAAACUGAACAAACACUUUUCCUUUUAAUAAAGAGUAAUUUAGAGGGUGGGAGAGGAGCGAAUUUCCUUCUUGGAAAAAUUCAUGUGUUAUAAAAACGUCUUUUAUUUAAGGAGUGGAUUAACCUCAUUUUAUCUGUGUUUAUAUUCUACCUACUUUACAGGGAGUACAAUAGGAUGGCAGUAGACAUCCAAAUACUUCUCUAAUAUAUAUCAUGGUGUUAUCAAUAUGAAAACCAAUAAGUGUUUCUUUAUAUGUUUAACUAUUAUCUUGUUAUUUAUAAUUUAAUUAAACUAUGUAGUAGUUCAUUAAAAUCAAAGACUGAAUUUGGCCUCAGGGUACUGCAAUGAUUUACAAAUACUUAGUACAGAAUAUUUUGCAUAGAUUCUCUCUCUCUCUUAAGAGUCAAAUUCAAUCAAAACAAGAAGACACGGGGCAUGGAAUUAUCGGAAUGUAUUUGUUCACUCAACAAACACUUGGGAAAGACACUGCAUGAGAGACAUCACAGCUGUGCUCAGAAGGAAACACUACACUUCCCUCUACACACAGGGAAGUGAUUUUACCUGUAGGAUAACCAAGUUCAGGGUUUCAGGAAGUGAACUGUAAUAGAGUUUUAAUGUCCUUUGGGCCCUGCCUCGGCAUUGUUCAUUUUCAGUAAAUGAAAGCAAUACGGGCUUUGCAAAGGGAUUUUAAACUAUUACAGGGGAAACUUAGAAACAAAUCCAAUACCACCUUAGAUGUAAGAUUCCAGGAACUACUCAUCUUGUGGAGAUCUUUAAUCUGAAACCACGGCAGGUUUCAUGAAUAUUUAAGAAGCAAAGACUCAAAGAAGACAGUUGAAGGGAAAAUUGCUGUUGGCCGAUUUUUAAUAAAUAGAUUCUUUCUAGGACUCCCAGUUCUCAGUAGGAAUUGCCUCAAAGACACUUUCCACCUAUAAUCAUUACUCAAGGAUUAGGACUCAAGACACCACACUCGGGAGGCCUAUUUAUUGCAGACAGAUGGGUAGUGGUUCAAAAAGCAGCUCUCCCAGUGUGAAGACAGACUAUAAACCUGCACCCAACCUGAGGCAAAGGGGGGGGGGGUCUCAGCUCCCCACCCAACACACACCCACACUCAAGUUUCUCAGGACUUCCCUCCCCCAUCCAGGCCUUGGUUGCUUUCCCCUCCUCAUCUUGAGAUAAAAUUAGGUGAAGAUAUAAGCAUGGUGUAUAAGAUUAUGUCACUAGAUUUGGGGUUGAGUGACCCCUGUGUUGUUUAUUAGUAGCAUGCAGUGGACAGAACAUUUAAUAUCUUUUAAAGUAAAAUUCACCCCAAGCAGGCCAGAGCCCAUCUCAAAGCCCUCCUAAACCAGGAAUCUGAUCCACAUAAACUUUUCUCUGCAGAACUUCCUGUACCAUCACCACAUUCCAAAUAUGCCCGUAUACUGCUACAGGAACGUUGACUCCCAUAUUUUCAUUCCGAUUGAGUAUUCAUUAAAGAAUUCAACAAAUU